GCACUGGUCGGAAACCAGUGCGCGUUCUUAUGAAGGAG
RNAcentral lists this non-coding RNA (38 nucleotides) under unclassified sequences. RNAcentral describes it as "L31-Coriobacteria ribosomal protein leader". It matches the Rfam family "L31-Coriobacteria ribosomal protein leader". The record is from RNAcentral.